UGGGGAAUAUUGGACAAUGGGCGCAAGCCUGAUCCAGCCAUGCCGCGUGUGUGAAGAAGGCCUUCGGGUUGUAAAGCACUUUUGUCCGGGAAGAAAAGCCAGGGAUUAAUACCCCCGGGUUCUGACGGUACCGGAAGAAUAAGCACCGGCUAACUUCGUGCCAGCAGCCGCGGUAAUACGAAGGGUGCAAGCGUUACUCGGAAUUACUGGGCGUAAAGCGUGCGUAGGUGGUUCGUUAAGUCUGCCGUGAAAGCCCCGGGCUCAACCUGGGAAUGGCGGUGGAUACUGGCGGACUAGAGUGCGGUAGAGGGUGGUGGAAUUCCCGGUGUAGCAGUGAAAUGCGUAGAGAUCGGGAGGAACAUCUGUGGCGAAGGCGGCCACCUGGACCAGCACUGACACUGAGGCACGAAAGCGUGGGGAGCAAACAG
Molecule: ribosomal RNA, 428 nt
Filed under: uncultured bacterium
Lineage: Bacteria
Description: bacterial SSU rRNA
Rfam family: Bacterial small subunit ribosomal RNA
Source: RNAcentral